CUUACCGGGCCAACAGGGCGCCUGAUGGGUAGGUGGAGAUAGUGUGUUACCGGGAGGGUGAGCAUGACUGGUGUCACCGAUUCCAUCACACCACAAGCAAUAGUAUUUUCACUGGUGGUUGAGAUCCAAACGUACCAUGAUCCAUAUUUUGCUCGUCAGGCAGCUCGAUCCUAAAGAGUAAAGACAGGGAAUGUUUGGUCACUUUCACUACAGAGUUCAUCAAGGAGCAUCAGAAAGUCCAGUUCAAUGAACUCAUUCUGAGGCGCAAGACUUUAGAUCACUCACCUGGACAAAGGUUAAGAAGCUGGCAUUAUCUUUCAAACAAAACAAAGCGCCAUUUGAGGCAUUCCUCUAAAAGUGUAACUCACCGUUUCCGACAACAUCCAUCAUCUGUAGGAGAAACAAAUAAGUUUACUGCACAUCAAAAGGAAGUUUCAUAGGAUGACUUUUAUUGUGGUUUGAUUAACCCGGUUUAGAAAACACUACAGUGCAGUAUCAAAGUGAGCUAGAAGUAUCAUUGAAGCAGCAUUUAACUGGCAUGUUGUGAUGGGAAGCAUCCACUGUCAACACAAUCUGGACUUACAGGAUUGCUUCUUGGUGACAUCCUUUUUCAAACACUGGUUGACACCAACCUACAGGAAAAAGAAAAUCCAGUUCUAUAAAUCCCAUUAAUAAAAAUGACAGCAAUUUAUUUAAAUAAAGGCAAUCAGAUAGAAGGCUGACAUCACAGAAAUCAGGCAUAUGCUUGUCAAUAAGUAUACUCAUCAUGUUUAACCCCAAACCAGUGUGUGAAUGAAUGAACGAGGGUUUACUCACCAUUGUGUUCUUCAUUGGAAGAGUUCAUUAUGGGAACAUUGCAGGACCACCUGAAGAGACAUCCCAGUUAGCCAUAAACUGAGACCUA
Long non-coding RNA from Gasterosteus aculeatus aculeatus (three-spined stickleback), 904 nucleotides. Lineage: Eukaryota; Metazoa; Chordata; Actinopteri; Perciformes; Gasterosteidae. The record is from Ensembl.